Esox lucius (northern pike) is the source of this 606-nucleotide long non-coding RNA. RefSeq lists it as uncharacterized. The transcript is spliced from 11 exons. The record is from RefSeq and is a predicted model, not a curated record. Lineage: Eukaryota; Metazoa; Chordata; Actinopteri; Esociformes; Esocidae.
UCCUUCCGUAUAAAUACAGCCUGCACCCUAGUUUCGGUCUCCUUCUUCUCUCAAGAGUCUGGUGUAAGGAUCCUUUUGCGGGGUUCGAAGCCUACAAUCGUAUUGAUGAGAACUAAAGCCCCCAUGAUGUCAAGCAUGCAGAAUAAGUUGCAGAUCCUGGUUGUACUAUCUGGGCUGUCUACAUGAGCCAUGAGCCCCAGAACCUGUUGUCAAUAAGACUGGAAAGGACUGGUGGUACAAAUGUCUGGAAAGGACUGGUGGUACAAAUGUCGCAUCUACAAAGGACUCCUUCCAGGUCCUGAGGACUUGGUACAGGUGGAUCUUACGUGGCAUUGCUGUAUGGCUGAAUAGACAAGACUAGAACCUGGAUGCAGUGCUGAUGUUUGACGGUUGAUCUAGGAAGGAAGGCAUGUCUGAUGGCCGGUGGAGUUGUCUCAAAUGUUAGUGACAUCACAAUUGCAUGCCAUCUGUGGGUGUAUGGAACAUGGUAUGGUUAGACCUCGACGACAUGUUGGGAUUACCACAGUUCAUGGAUGUGGUCUUGUAAUUCUGUCAUGCAAGUCAUUGUUUGAUCUGAGUAUUUCAAUAAAAUAUUUUUCCAAAUCC